This 1185-nucleotide unclassified non-coding RNA is filed under the name Hevea brasiliensis (rubber tree). The record is from RNAcentral. Lineage: Eukaryota; Viridiplantae; Streptophyta; Magnoliopsida; Malpighiales; Euphorbiaceae.
CUGGAAUCACUGAUAUGAUGAGCCAUGAAAUUACUUUGAUUGAAUUGAUUAAAAAGGCUUCAUGUUUCAUUUGACUAAUAAGGGAUAGGUGUGUAUUGGAAAUGAAGGUGGAUUUGAAUUUAUGUUCCACCAUAAACACCAAUUUUAAUGUUAAAUUCAAAUAUCGCUUCAUUUCAAAUCCUUAUGUAUCCAAAUGGAUUCUAUUAAAAUUAAAUCUGACUCACAUUUGAGUCAAUGGAUGGUUAUAUUAUAAGUGCCUGUGUAGUAAUCAGAUCCCUUGUUUUCUAUUGGCUAACAGCCUAACACUCUUCAUGGCUUUAUACUUGGAAUUCAACUUUGAUCCUUGUUGCAGAACUCAAUUACUCGCAGAAGAGGCAUACUGUUUAGUUUGUAGUUGGCCUUUUAGUUAUUACUAUUUUUCUUGAAUAUGCAUGUUUGCACAAUAUGCAUUUAAAAUGUGAUUAGCUCUAGCUGGAUGCAGUUUGAUUCUUGAUAGCUAUAUAUUGCGCAUUAAGGGGAUCUUUGUAUGGCAUCCUUGCAACUCCUGAUUUUGUUCGACUUAUCUCUGUGAGAAAUAGGUGUUUUGGUCUUGGUUAAAGUUGCCUUGGAUUGACUUCAUGAUGUUAAAUCAUUGUCAGAAAUUUAAAAUUAUCCUACAAGUCACUUCUGCCUCCCUGGUUAGACUGGACAAUUGUUUCUUUUAUGGUCUUGGAUGUUAUUAUGGCUGGGAAGAUAAAUUUUCCUCUACUUUACUAUUGGAAAUCUAGUCUCCUUAUUUGAGCCUCAGUGCCAGGUUGGGCUUCCAAGCACUUGAAUCUUGAAGGUUGGUGCUAAUGGGAUAAUUUUUAAUGCCAAUGGUCUAGUAGAGUGCUUGACUGGAAUGGCCAUUGGAUCAGAUUUCAUCUAAGAUUAAUAAAUCAAAAUGAAUCUGUGUCUGGGAUGGAAGCUUGUUAUUUGUUUGUAUUGCAGAAUUGAUGUGUCCAUCUGCUAUUAUGCUUCUAAAGUAGCCAAGUGGGUGUAGCUUUUUAUUUAGUUAUUUCAAUUAGAGUUUGAAAUGAAUUUCAAUAAUAUUCUUAAAAUCUGAAAAAACUAUAAAUUUGGAAACUUGAUUUUUGUCGCGAGUGUUUAUAAUAUGUUUGUAGGCACGUGGAGAGACAUUGAACUAACUACAACUAAUACUUUUAU